UGUUUUAUACCAUUUUUAAUAUAAGAUAUAUGUUUUAAACACUAAAAUGAGAGAAUAUUUAAACUUUUAAAAUCUAAAAUUAUAAAAUAUAAUGUAUUGAUAUCAUAAUAUGUUGUUUUAGAAAAUUGAACAUGAAAAAAAGAAAUAAAGAAAAUGACAGUUUAUAUAGACAAAGAUGGGUUAAAGUUAUGAAAAUAAAACAAAAUGUGAAAAUGACGUAGAACUACUUUA
Molecule: long non-coding RNA, 231 nt
Filed under: Lathyrus oleraceus (garden pea)
Lineage: Eukaryota; Viridiplantae; Streptophyta; Magnoliopsida; Fabales; Fabaceae
Description: Pisum sativum (pea) long non-coding RNA (PSAT_LNC025236)
Source: RNAcentral